Molecule: ribosomal RNA, 403 nt
Filed under: uncultured bacterium
Lineage: Bacteria
Description: partial 16S ribosomal RNA
Rfam family: Bacterial small subunit ribosomal RNA
Source: RNAcentral
GACGAACGCUGGCGGCGUGCCUAAUACAUGCAAGUCGAACGCAGUGGGGACGGGUGAGUAACACGUGGGUAACCUCCCAUCAGAGGGGAUAACACUUGGAAACAGGUGCUAAACCGAUAUUGGUGGAUGGACCCGCGGUGCAUUGGCUAGUUGGUGAGGUAACGGUUCACCAAGGCCACGAUGCAUAGACGGCCUGAGAGGGUGAUCGGCCACACUGGGACUGAGACACGGUCCAGACUCCUACGGGAGGCAGCAGUAGGGAAUCUUCGGCAAUGGACGAAAGUCUGACGCAGCAAUGCCGCGUGAGUGAAGAAGGUGUUCGGGUCGUAAAACUCUGUUGUUAGGGAAGCGGUACCUAACCAGAAAGCCACGGCUAACUACGUGCCAGCAGCCGCGGUAAUUC